UACGGGUGAUUAGGCGAGUGCUGGAGCAUGGGGGCUUGGCUGUAGUGCAGAGUCAACUUUUUUUUUGCAGGGGCUGAGGUGGGGAGGGGUCGGUGGUGUCUUGAGGAGGGACAAGGGUAGCGACGGCGGGCGGCGAGGAGGAGAGGAGACAAUGGGGCAGCGCUCCUUGGUUGGAGGGCUUCGUUGGCCUCGCCGUUCGCCGCCUUCUUACCUCUCUACCGCAGAUGCCGCUGCUGCUUCCUCUACCCCGCCCGCAGGAUGUAGACCUAGUUCGUGCUCCUCCUCGCCGCGUUCCGAAGGACCUUCCUCGGGCUCCGGGCCCAGAAGAGGCGGUGGUGCGCGUGACUACAGCGGCGCGAGGAGCCGCUCGGGGCGCUGGUCUAGGAGCAGCCAGCACGGAGGAAGCGGCUGGAGCGGCGUGUCGUCAGGCCGACGACCCCUCACUUUGCACGUAUCUACUCUAAGAGGUCUAACAAAAGAAGAGAGAGGGAUCGUUAGGAAGAACGAAGGGGAGAACACAGAGAGCUACGAUGAUAUAGAUAUACGUCCAAAACUGUACGGAAAACAAACACAACCGUCCUUGAGGUCAAGUGCGAGACAAAACCACCUAGAGUGAUGCGAGUCCUCCACAAGCUGCUUUACGUUUCGGUCUCUUUUUGAUCUCUACUCUGUGUCCAAGUCAAAAGAGAAGUCCGUUCCUUACGGAAAGAGAGAAAACGAGACCGGUCGUUGUAUCAGCCGAGGGAGAGAAAACACACGUCAAUGUGUUUAUGUGUGUACAUACCGGACGUCGGUACGAGUCUGUAGGAGUCGUGUGUAUCUGCAGCGAUGUCACGUCCCUGUGUGUGUAGUCGGAUGACAGUUGAGGCGUACAAUGAUCUGUGCUCGUACCAGAUAUGUGACAGAUCUAACGUUGUUCCUAAUGUAAUUGUCAAACUUGGCUCGAACUAAAAAAACCAAUUCUAAGUUACUACCAAACCACAAUGAGAUAAAAAUGAUAACAAAGGAAUAGUUAUAAAGUGACGACACUAUCACUUUGUAAAUAGAUAAUGUAUGAAAAAGCAACUGUCGGCUUACACGACAAACUUGACAAAAGGGAUCUACUUCCUUCAUGUCAAACGUACAUGAUUAAAAAAUGACAAUCAAGGUCUAAUAGGGGAAAGGACACACGUAAAUGAUCUACGAAUUUAAUUAUAUACCUAGUAGAAGCCAGGUCGUACUAGAUAAAUCGUUUAAUUUUAAAGAGUAGGUCACAAGUCAAUAAAAGAGUUAAAUAAACGACGAGUACAUACACAAUUGGACAUGACUCUAACAAAUAAUAUAUAUACAGAUACAGGUCGAAGACAUUACAGUACGUAGAUAAAUCCCUUCAGUAAGAUCCAUUGUGUGGACUGAACAUAGUCGAGUUUUAACGAUAAUACUUAUAUCAAAUAAAGUGUAUCUAUUACUCGAUAAAGUACGUCAAGAACAGGGACCUCUGAAGAGUUCACGUUGAAUGCCCAUAGAACUUGGUAGUUGUGGCGGAGGUCGACUGUGGUGGGAUCCGAGGCCCCUCAUGUGGCCCGGUGACUGUCGACGCAUCCACUACCGUCGCCCGCCCCGACCAGAAGAAGAACCGCGUGCACACAAUGGAGAGGUUCUAGGUACUCGAACCACUGUGCAACGAGUAGGAGACUACGAGCGAACGAGUGGGACGAGCCGUAGAUGGUGGUACGGUAGUAGUAACAGUACGAUGGAGACCGAGCGGUGACCCUACAUCAAGAGUACACCUCAACAAACCUACACGCACGUCCACGUUCUUUAAGUCCUUCAACCCGUUUCAUCCCAGCAAGACCUCCGGUAGUGGCAACACGUAGUGGCUGGUCCGUUGGAGCUUCGUACGAUGGAAGAACCUUUAAUAGGCUAACAUAAAGACCCCUCGGCCCUCCGUCCUCGUUGCGACCACUACUGGGGCUGCCACCCACUGUGGCGGCCCUCCGUUACGUGAGGGACCAACAGCAAGUUAAGUAGUCGUAACCACGGUGGUUCCUGCUAGUGUUGUUUACUAUAAAAAGGAAGCUAAAAGAAAGAUUGCCACCACCUAACCAACGAGGAACCACGCACCUAAAAAUUUACAUCCGACGACCACUCCUUUGUUUCAACCACUUUUAUAGUUUCGACCUGUUUUUAUUAUCUUUGUAAUUCGCGUCUUAUACGACAUGGAUUUAAUCGACGGACCUUUGUAUCCCGGACACGAUUUACUGACUUCCCACUCGUUGUUGAAGCUCGGCUCUUAACCUCUGACCGUUCUAUCUCAAGCCGGUAUCACAUGACGGACCUUUCCUUCCGUAACGUGACCUCCCACCGCGUCCACCAUUACCUCCUCCGCCGCUACUCAUAACGCAGUCCGCCGUUAGCCUAAAUUCGCACCUUCUAUAACCGUAGCUAUACUCUCACCCGCUCUCGGUAUCCUUUUUCCUAGACCACUUCUUUCUUGUAUUCUCUACCCACACCCAGUCACCCACAAUAGCCGGACCGAUCCGGUUGCACCAUGUACGUUAGAAAAAAAAAGAAAAGACUCAACAUGAACCGAUUUAGAGUGAUAUAAACAUGCACAAGUAUACAGUAAACAAAAAGUUUUGUUUUAUUUAUUUCUUUUACAUCUUAUUACAUUUUAGUUU
This 2660-nucleotide ribosomal RNA is filed under the name Triticum aestivum (bread wheat). RNAcentral describes it as "partial small subunit ribosomal RNA". Lineage: Eukaryota; Viridiplantae; Streptophyta; Magnoliopsida; Poales; Poaceae. The record is from RNAcentral.